GUUGAUCCUGCCAGUAGUCAUAUGCUUGUCUCAAAGAUUAAGCCAUGCAUGUCUCAGUACAAGCCGAAUUAAGGUGAAACCGCGAAAGGCUCAUUAAAUCAGUUAUGGUUCCUUAGAUCGUACCCACAUUUACUUGGAUAACUGUGGUAAUUCUAGAGCUAAUACAUGCAAACAGAGCUCCGACCGGAGACGGAAGGAGCGCUUUUAUUAGAUCAAAACUAAUCGGCGGCGGGUUCGCCCGUUCGUCGUACACCUUGGUGAAUCUGAAUAACUUUCUGCUGAUCGCAUGGUCUCGCACCGGCGACGCAUCUUUCAAAUGUCUGCCUUAUCAACUGUCGAUGGUAGGUUCUGCGCCUACCAUGGUUGUAACGGGUAACGGGGAAUCAGGGUUCGAUUCCGGAGAGGGAGCCUGAGAAACGGCUACCACAUCCAAGGAAGGCAGCAGGCGCGCAAAUUACCCACUCCCGGCACGGGGAGGUAGUGACGAAAAAUAACGAUACGGGACUCAUCCGAGGCCCCGUAAUCGGAAUGAGUACACUCUAAACCCUUUAACGAGGAUCAAUUGGAGGGCAAGUCUGGUGCCAGCAGCCGCGGUAAUUCCAGCUCCAAUAGCGUAUAUUAAAGUUG
RNAcentral lists this ribosomal RNA (627 nucleotides) under Ancyronyx procerus. RNAcentral describes it as "SSU rRNA". It matches the Rfam family "Eukaryotic small subunit ribosomal RNA", at positions 7 to 612 of the family's 1831-position model. Lineage: Eukaryota; Metazoa; Arthropoda; Insecta; Coleoptera; Elmidae. The record is from RNAcentral.